Non-coding RNA from Mustela lutreola (European mink), 606 nucleotides. The record is from the annotation of a RefSeq genome assembly. Lineage: Eukaryota; Metazoa; Chordata; Mammalia; Carnivora; Mustelidae.
UCAUGUGAAGAAUGAAAAAUAUUGUUUAGGUGAUGCUCCAGAGAUGAAGUGUUCUCCAGGCUUCGUGACUGUGGUACUCAUAUUGCUUGGACAAACACAUGGAGACUCAGUGACUCAGACAGAGGGCCAAGUGACCCUCUCAGAAGAGACUUCCCUGACUAUAAACUGUACCUAUUCAGCAACUGGGUAUCCAAAUCUCUUCUGGUAUGUCCAGUAUCCAGGAGAAGGUCUAGAGCUCCUCCUGAAAGCCUUGAGGGACAAGGAGAAGGGAAGCAACAAAGGAUUUGAAGCCACCUACAACAAAGAUUCCAAAUCCUUCCACUUGGAGAAAGGCUCGGUGCAAGCCUCAGAUUCAGCUGUGUACUACUGUGCCAUGUACGACACAGUGAUGGGGACUGUAGGGGGAGCUGAGCACAAACUCUGGGCAGAACAGGGGCCUGGAUGCUGAGUGUCUCUGCCUGAUCCACUCUGGUUCCAGCACAAUCUGUUGUUUGUCCUUCAGUGUCUGGUUGAUAGAAAAAUCAUACAAACAACUAGAGCACAGGAACCAGAAGUAACAUUCCCCAACCCCAGCUGUUUCUUAGUGACACUGAGACUAGCUUCAUU